GGGAUAAGCGGAAGAAAUUCCGUCUAAUACCGCGUAAUAACUCCGAGAGGCAUCUCCUGGGGUUUAAAGGGUAACACCGGCUACGGAUGGCCAUGCGGCGCAUUAGCUAGUUGGCGGGGUAACGGCCCACCAAGGCGACGAUGCGUAGGGGUUCUGAGAGGAAGGUCCCCCACACUGGUACUGAGACACGGACCAGACUCCUACGGGAGGCAGCAGUGAGGAAUAUUGGUCAAUGGGCGCGAGCCUGAACCAGCCAAGUCGCGUGAGGGAAGACGGUCCUAUGGAUUGUAAACCUCUUUUGUCGGGGAGCAAAAGACGCCACGCGUGGCGUUCCGAGAGUACCCGAAGAAAAAGCAUCGGCCAACUCCGUGCCAGCAGCCGCGGUAAUACGGAGGAUGCGAGCGUUAUCCGGAUUUAUUGGGUUUAAAGGGUGCGCAGGCGGAAGAUCAAGUCAGCGGUAAAAUUGAGAGGCUCAACCUCUUCGAGCCGUUGAAACUGGUUUUCUUGAGUGAGCGAGAAGUAUGCGGAAUGCGUGGUGUAGCGGUGAAAUGCAUAGAUAUCACGCAGAACUCCGAUUGCGAAGGCAGCAUACCGGCGCUCAACUGACGCUCAUGCACGAAAGUGUGGGUAUCGAACAGGAUUAGAUACCCUGGUAGUCCACACAGUAAACGAUGAAUAAUAGUUGUUCGGG
This 691-nucleotide ribosomal RNA is filed under the name uncultured bacterium. Its description in RNAcentral is "bacterial SSU rRNA". It matches the Rfam family "Bacterial small subunit ribosomal RNA", at positions 140 to 828 of the family's 1533-position model. The record is from RNAcentral.